RNAcentral lists this long non-coding RNA (518 nucleotides) under Homo sapiens (human). RNAcentral describes it as "HSALNT0378055". Lineage: Eukaryota; Metazoa; Chordata; Mammalia; Primates; Hominidae. The record is from RNAcentral.
UACUGCCCAAAUGUUGCAUUUUCCAAGACCACCCUGGCCUGCCAUGCCCCCAUCCUGUGCCUAUAAAAACCCGAGACCCUAGCAAGGCAGAAACAGCAGCAGCUGGAAGUCAAGAGGAGUGCUCUGUGGAGGAACACACCCACAGGCACCAGCAUGCCGGCAGGCCACUGACUGGCAAAACAACGCGGUGUUUGGCUGGGGCAGUCGGAGGAGCGCUCGGGCCGCCAAGCAGACCGACUCCAGGGAAAACCAUCUCCCUUCUGGCUCCCCCAUCUGCUAAGAGGCUUUGGUAAGGCUGUGAGAGCACAGAGCUGAAUUAGGGAUCUUGGACUUCAAGUUACUGACUAGCCCCAGCACUCGCCAAGCUCACAAAGAAGACAGAAACGAGCUUCUCUCCUGAAGCCAGGGAGACCACUAACCCACCAGCAGGAAAGAACAACUCCGGACCCGCCGCCUUAAGAGCUGUUAACACUCACCGCGAAGGUCUGCAGCUUCACUCCUGAGCCAACGAGACCAUG